UCCUUGCAGUUCUUAGACAGUACAAAUAUGUGGAAAAGAACAAAAAAGUUUUGGAAAGUCUUUUGUGUAUCUAGGAUAAGAUGUGCUUAAAUUUGUCCCUUAAAUCUGACUUAAAUUCCUCUCAAUGACGACUCAGAGCUACAAAAAUCUGUACUAUUCUAGAUGUGAACCCCCCCGGUUGUCUCUAAAUCUUAAGUUGCAUUUUUGGUAAUGGCAGAUGCCAUUUUAAAGGGAAAUAUUGUUUGUUGUUAAUAUAAAAUAUGUAGACUAUUAAAUGUUUUUAUAAAACUUGUUAUUGAUUAGUACCUUAAAUCACUGAAUAGAUUCAGAUAGUAACAAAGAUGAGUUAAUGACACGUAGAUAGGUGAAAGCAUAUUAGGCUGGCAAGUAUGAGAAGCUAUGUGCCAGCCACGAAAACUAUACCAGCAUUAAUGCUAUUUUUAAACUAUGUGGAUUAUAUUUGUGCCUGCCAUAAAAUCUCUGCCUCUGAUAGUAUAUCGCUUCAGGGGAUGGCAUUUUUCUAAUGCAAACACAUCAUACUCGACUGACUCACUCAGCUUCAGGCUUCCAGCUUUGCAUCCGCAGACUGUGUGUCUGAAACCUGUAUUUUUUUAAUGUUAGUUCCACCCCUCGCUCGUCACCACACCAAGAUGAUGAUGGAAGGAAAUGCUCAUUUUGAGAACAUUGAGACAUGACUCAUAUCAUGCGCAGCACAGUGAGCGGGAUCAGCACACUGCCAGACUGAUAGAGGACCUUGUCAGUUGUGGACUGAAUGAGCAGGUCUGAUAGAUGCAAGCUACUGCAAAUCCCAAGUAGCUCAAACAACAAUUUUAUUCCUGAAAGAAUGUUCAUUGCAGAUUUAAAGCUACAACAAUGGCAAAUAAAAAGGACAUAAUGAAUUUUUAACUUUCAUUCCAGGAAACUGAGAUUAAUUUUUUUUCCAGUUAUAAAUGUACUAUUUAAAUAAUAUCAAGGUGUGAACAUGAGGAAUUUAAUGUAUUUACUAGUCAAGGAAAAACACUUUAGUGCUAAAAUCUAUCCUAGAGAUGCAUUAAUAUCUGAACAAAAAUGUAAAAAUGACAUAAAUGCACAGUUUCGUUAACAGAUAUUCUUUG
This is a long non-coding RNA of Oreochromis niloticus (Nile tilapia), 1115 nucleotides long. RefSeq lists it as uncharacterized. The record is from RefSeq and is a predicted model, not a curated record. The transcript is spliced from 4 exons. NCBI's taxonomy places the organism in Eukaryota, Metazoa, Chordata, Actinopteri, Cichliformes, Cichlidae.